CAGCCGCCACGGUAAUACGGAGGGUGCAAGCGUUAAUCGGAAUUACUGGGCGUAAAGCGCACGCAGGCGGUUUGUUAAGUCAGAUGUGAAAUCCCCGAGCUUAACUUGGGAACUGCAUUUGAAACUGGCAAGCUAGAGUCUUGUAGAGGGGGGUAGAGUUCCAGGUGUAGCGGUGAAAUGCGUAGAGAUCUGGAGGAAUACCGGUGGCGAAGGCGGCCCCCUGGACAAAGACUGACGCUCAGGUGCGAAAGCGUGGGGAGCAAACAGGAUUAGAUACCCCAGUAGUCCCUGUCUCUUAUAC
Molecule: ribosomal RNA, 301 nt
Filed under: uncultured bacterium
Lineage: Bacteria
Description: partial 16S ribosomal RNA
Rfam family: Bacterial small subunit ribosomal RNA
Source: RNAcentral